UACAGAGGGUGCAAGCGUUGUUCGGAAUUAUUGGGCGUAAAGGGCGCGUAGGCGGUGCGGUAAGUCUGUAGUGAAAUCUCUGGGCUCAACUCAGAGUCUGCUAUAGAAACUGCCGUGCUUGAGUGUGGGAGAGGUGAGUGGAAUUCCCGGUGUAGCGGUGAAAUGCGUAGAUAUCGGGGAGGAACACCUGUGGCGAAAAGCGGCUCACUGGACCACAACUGACGCUGAGGCGCGAAAGCUAGGGGGAGCAAACAGG
Molecule: ribosomal RNA, 256 nt
Filed under: uncultured bacterium
Lineage: Bacteria
Description: partial 16S ribosomal RNA
Rfam family: Bacterial small subunit ribosomal RNA
Source: RNAcentral